RNAcentral lists this ribosomal RNA (484 nucleotides) under uncultured bacterium. RNAcentral's name for it is "partial 16S ribosomal RNA". It matches the Rfam family "Bacterial small subunit ribosomal RNA", at positions 30 to 507 of the family's 1533-position model. The record is from RNAcentral.
AUUGAACGCUGGCGGCAGGCCUAACACAUGCAAGUCGAGCGGAUGAAGGGAGCUUGCUCCUGGAUUCAGCGGCGGACGGGUGAGUAAUGCCCAGGAAUCUGCCUGGUAGUGGGGGAUAACGUCCGGAAACGGGCGCUAAUACCGCAUACGUCCUGAGGGAGAAAGUGGGGGAUCUUCGGACCUCACGCUAUCAGAUGAGCCUAGGUCGGAUUAGCUAGUUGGUGGGGUAAAGGCCUACCAAGGCGACGAUCCGUAACUGGUCUGAGAGGAUGAUCAGUCACACUGGAACUGAGACACGGUCCAGACUCCUACGGGAGGCAGCAGUGGGGAAUAUUGGACAAUGGGCGAAAGCCUGAUCCAGCCAUGCCGCGUGUGUGAAGAAGGUCUUCGGAUUGUAAAGCACUUUAAGUUGGGAGGAAGGGCAGUAAGUUAAUACCUUGCCGUUUUGACGUUACCAACAGAAUAAGCACCGGCUAACUUCGUG